AUUGAACGCUGGCGGAAUGCUUUACACAUGCAAGUCGAACGGCAGCAUAGGUGCUUGCACCUGAUGGCGAGUGGCGAACGGGUGAGUAAUAUAUCGGAACGUGCCCAGUCGUGGGGGAUAACGUAGCGAAAGCUACGCUAAUACCGCAUACGAUCUACGGAUGAAAGCGGGGGACCUUCGGGCCUCGUGCGAUUGGAGCGGCCGAUAUCAGAUUAGGUAGUUGGUGGGGUAAAGGCUCACCAAGCCAACGAUCUGUAGCUGGUCUGAGAGGACGACCAGCCACACUGGGACUGAGACACGGCCCAGACUCCUACGGGAGGCAGCAGUGGGGAAUUUUGGACAAUGGACGCAAGUCUGAUCCAGCCAUUCCGCGUGCAGGACGAAGGCCUUCGGGUUGUAAACUGCUUUUGUACAGAACGAAAAGGUUUCUACUAAUACUAGGGGCUCAUGACGGUACUGUAAGAAUAAGCACCGGCUAACUACGUGCCAGCAGCCGCCGUAA
Molecule: ribosomal RNA, 502 nt
Filed under: uncultured bacterium
Lineage: Bacteria
Description: partial 16S ribosomal RNA
Rfam family: Bacterial small subunit ribosomal RNA
Source: RNAcentral